GUGCUCGCUUUGGCAGCACAUAUACUAAAAUUGAAACAAUACAGAGAAGAUUAACAUGGUCCAUGCACAAGGAUGAUAUAAAAUUUGUGAAGUGUUCCAUAUUUUU
Molecule: small nuclear RNA, 106 nt
Organism: Erinaceus europaeus (western European hedgehog)
Lineage: Eukaryota; Metazoa; Chordata; Mammalia; Eulipotyphla; Erinaceidae
Source: Ensembl